GAUGAACGCUGGCGGCGUGCCUAAUACAUGCAAGUCGAGCGAACAGACGAGGAGCUUGCUCCUCUGACGUUAGCGGCGGACGGGUGAGUAACACGUGGAUAACCUACCUAUAAGACUGGGGUAACUUCGGGAAACCGGAGCUAAUACCGGAUAAUAUAUUGAACCGCAUGGUUCAAUAGUGAAAGACGGUUUUGCUGUCACUUAUAGAUGGAUCCGCGCCGCAUUAGCUAGUUGGUAAGGUAACGGCUUACCAAGGCAACGAUGCGUAGCCGACCUGAGAGGGUGAUCGGCCACACUGGAACUGAGACACGGUCCAGACUCCUACGGGAGGCAGCAGUAGGGAAUCUUCCGCAAUGGGCGAAAGCCUGACGGAGCAACGCCGCGUGAGUGAUGAAGGUCUUCGGAUCGUAAAACUCUGUUAUUAGGGAAGAACAAAUGUGUAAGUAACUAUGCACGUCUUGACGGUACCUAAUCAGAAAGCCACGGCUAACUACGUGC
This 498-nucleotide ribosomal RNA is filed under the name uncultured bacterium. RNAcentral describes it as "partial 16S ribosomal RNA". It matches the Rfam family "Bacterial small subunit ribosomal RNA", at positions 28 to 508 of the family's 1533-position model. The record is from RNAcentral.